Non-coding RNA from Pelobates cultripes (western spadefoot toad), 298 nucleotides. Lineage: Eukaryota; Metazoa; Chordata; Amphibia; Anura; Pelobatidae. The record is from the annotation of a GenBank genome assembly.
GCCAAGUAUUUUCCCUGAUACCUGGCUUGCUGUCUGCUUCAAGGCCUGUUACUUUUUCUCUUCUAUCACGGGUGUCAAAUUCCAAUCCUUGCAAGGCAUACCCACAGCAGAUUUUCAGAACAAACCUAGCAUGAUGCUUAUAGGUGCCAAAUUAUAUAUUUGUAUAAUGCUCUCUCCACAGGAAGGGUUACCACCCUUCUUGGAAAUUUUGUUUACCAGGCAAGCUAAUUUGCAUAAUUAAUUAUGUGUGAGUCACAGGAGUGUCCGUUUGUAUACUGUGUGUGUUUAGUACUGUGCU